GACGAACGCUGGCGGCGUGCUUAACACAUGCAAGUCGAACGGAAAGGCCCUGCUUUUGUGGGGUGCUCGAGUGGCGAACGGGUGAGUAACACGUGAGUAACCUGCCCUUGACUUUGGGAUAACUUCAGGAAACUGGGGCUAAUACCGGAUAGGAGCUCCUGCUGCAUGGUGGGGGUUGGAAAGUUUCGGCGGUUGGGGAUGGACUCGCGGCUUAUCAGCUUGUUGGUGGGGUAGUGGCUUACCAAGGCUUUGACGGGUAGCCGGCCUGAGAGGGUGACCGGCCCCAUUGGGACUGAGAUACGGCCCAGACUCCUACGGGAGGCAGCAGUGGGGAAUAUUGCACAAUGGGCGGAAGCCUGAUGCAGCAACGCCGCGUGCUGGAUGACGGCCUUCGGGUUGUAAACCGCUUUCGCCUGUGACGAAGCGUGAGUGACGGUAAUGGGUAAAGAAGCACCGGCUAACUACGUG
RNAcentral lists this ribosomal RNA (468 nucleotides) under uncultured bacterium. RNAcentral's name for it is "partial 16S ribosomal RNA". It matches the Rfam family "Bacterial small subunit ribosomal RNA", at positions 28 to 507 of the family's 1533-position model. The record is from RNAcentral.